Molecule: ribosomal RNA, 574 nt
Filed under: Citrobacter freundii
Lineage: Bacteria; Pseudomonadati; Pseudomonadota; Gammaproteobacteria; Enterobacterales; Enterobacteriaceae
Description: partial 23S ribosomal RNA
Rfam family: Bacterial large subunit ribosomal RNA
Source: RNAcentral
CCGGGUUGCGGACAGUGUCUGGUGGGUAGUUUGACUGGGGCGGUCUCCUCCUAAAGAGUAACGGAGGAGCACGAAGGUUAGCUAAUCCUGGUCGGACAUCAGGAGGUUAGUGCAAAGGCAUAAGCUAGCUUGACUGCGAGAGUGACGGCUCGAGCAGGUGCGAAAGCAGGUCUUAGUGAUCCGGUGGUUCUGAAUGGAAGGGCCAUCGCUCAACGGAUAAAAGGUACUCCGGGGAUAACAGGCUGAUACCGCCCAAGAGUUCAUAUCGACGGCGGUGUUUGGCACCUCGAUGUCGGCUCAUCACAUCCUGGGGCUGAAGUAGGUCCCAAGGGUAUGGCUGUUCGCCAUUUAAAGUGGUACGCGAGCUGGGUUUAGAACGUCGUGAGACAGUUCGGUCCCUAUCUGCCGUGGGCGCUGGAGAAUUGAGGGGGGCUGCUCCUAGUACGAGAGGACCGGAGUGGACGCAUCACUGGUGUUCGGGUUGUCAUGCCAAUGGCAUUGCCCGGUAGCUAAAUGCGGAAGAGAUAAGUGCUGAAAGCAUCUAAGCACGAAACUUGCCCCGAGAUGAGUUCUC